GACCGCUUAGGUGGCCUAGUGAUCAGAGCGUCCGCUUCUGAUGCGUAAGGUCGCAGGUUCAAAUCAAUGCCAAGUCA
Potamilus streckersoni is the source of this 77-nucleotide non-coding RNA. The record is from the annotation of a GenBank genome assembly. NCBI's taxonomy places the organism in Eukaryota, Metazoa, Mollusca, Bivalvia, Unionida, Unionidae.